GUCACGCUGUAAACGAUGUCGAUUUGGAGUUUGUUGCCUAGAGUGAUGGGCUCCGAAGCUAACGCGAUAAAUCGACCGCUGGGGAGUACGGCCGCAAGGUUAAAACUCAAAUGAAUUGACGGGGGCCCGCACAAGCGGUGGAGCAUGUGGUUUAAUUCGAUGCAACGCGAAGAACCUUACCUGGUCUUGACAUCCAUAGAAUUCUGCAGAGAUGUGGGAGUGCCUUCGGGAACUAUGAGACAGGUGCUGCAUGGCUGUCGUCAGCUCGUGUUGUGAAAUGUUGGGUUAAGUCCCGCAACGAGCGCAACCCUUAUUCUUUGUUGCCAGCGAUUUGGUCGGGAACUCAAAGGAGACUGCCGUUGAUAAAGCGGAGGAAGGUGGGGACGACGUCAAGUCAUCAUGGCCCUUACGACCAGGGCUACACACGUGCUACAAUGGCGUAUACAAAGGGAAGCGAAGGUGCGAGCUGGAGCGGAUCUCAUAAAGUACGUCUAAGUUCGGAUUGGAGUCUGCAACUCGACUCCAUGAAGUCGGAAUCGCUAGUAAUCGUAGAUCAGAAUGCUACGGUGAAUACGUUCCCGGGCCUUGUACACACCGCCCGUCACACCAUGGGAGUGGGUUGCACCAGAAGUAGAUAGCUUAACCGCGAGGGGGGCGUUUACCACGGUGUGAUUCAUGACUGGGGUGAAGUCGUAACAAGGUAACCA
RNAcentral lists this ribosomal RNA (707 nucleotides) under uncultured Enterobacteriaceae bacterium. Its description in RNAcentral is "bacterial SSU rRNA". It matches the Rfam family "Bacterial small subunit ribosomal RNA", at positions 794 to 1502 of the family's 1533-position model. Lineage: Bacteria; Pseudomonadati; Pseudomonadota; Gammaproteobacteria; Enterobacterales; Enterobacteriaceae. The record is from RNAcentral.